UCGACCUGAGCUCAGGCAAGGUUACCCGCUGAACUUAAGCAUAUCAAUAAGCGGAGGAAAAGAAACUAACAAGGAUUCCCCUAGUAACGGCGAGCGAACCGGGAAUAGCCCAACUUGUAAAUCUCCCUCGGAGAAUUGUAGUCUACAGAGGCAUCUUCUGCAACGGCCGGACCUCAAGUCCCCUGGAAGGGGGCGUCAGAGAGGGUGAGAACCCCGUCGGGUCUUGGUGCGGUUGCCUCACGAAGUGCUUUCCAAGAGUCGGGUUGUUUGGGAAUGCAGCCCUAAUUUGGUGGUAAAUCCCAUCUAAGGCUAAAUAUUGGCGAGAGACCGAUAGCGAACAAGUACCGCGAGGGAAAGAUGAAAAGAACUUUGAAAAGAGAGUUAAAAAGUGCUUGAAAUUGUUGAGGGGGAAGCGAUUGGCAGCUGUGUGUGCACCCAGGCUUACGCCGUCUUAACGGGCGGCUGCAUGUGCUGGGUGCUGGUCAGCAUGGGUUAGCCUGGCAGGAUAAACGCAGGGGUUGCUACUCUGUCUAUACUGCCGGGCUGACCGAGGCGUGAAGGCCGCUCUUGUCCCUCGGGAUCUGCGGCCUCAAGAUGCUGGCGGAAGGCUUUCAAUCGGCCCGUCUUGAAACACGGACCAAGGAGUCUAACAUGUAUGCGAGCUGGUGGGUGGCAAACCCAUGAGGCGCAAGUAACCUGACUGGUGGGAUGGCGUAAGCCUGCACCAUCGACCGACCAUGAUCUUCUGUGAAAGGUUCGAGUACGAGCAUACCUGUUGGGACCCGAAAGAUGGUGAACUAUGCCUGAGCAGGGCGAAGCCAGAGGAAACUCUGGUGGAGGCUCGUAGAUGUGCUGACGUGCAAAUCGCUUUUCGGACUUGGGUAUAGGGGCGAAAGACUAAUCGAACCAUCUAGUAGCUGGUUCCCUCCGAAGUUUCCCCCAGGAUAGCUGGAGCUUGAUCAGUUUUAUCGGGUAAAGCUAAUGAUUAGAGGUUCGGGGGAUGAAACAUCCUCCACCUAUUCUCAAACUUUAAAUAGGUAAGACGUGUGGGUUGCUUGAUUGAACCCAUGCAUUCAAUGAGAGCUCCAAGUGGGCCAUUUUUGGUAAGCAGAACUGGCGAUGCGGGAUGAACCGAUAGUCGAGUUAAGGUGCCAGACUACGCGCUAACCUAGAUCCCACAAAGGGUGUUGAUUGAUACAGACAGCAGGACGGUGGUCAUGGAAGUCGAAAUCCGCUAAGGAGUGUGUAACAACUCACCUGCCGAAUCAAUUAGCCCCGAAAAUGGAUGGCGCUGAAGCGCGUGACCUAUACUCGGCCAUGGGGGCAAGUGCGAGGCUCCCAUGAGUAGGAGGGCGUGGGUGUCGCUGCGCAGCCUGGGGCGCGAGCCCGGGUGAAGCGGCACCUAGUGCAGAUCUUGGUGGUAGUAGCAAAUAUUCAAAUGAGAACUUUGAAGACUGAAGGGGAGAAA
This 1468-nucleotide ribosomal RNA is filed under the name Fritschiella tuberosa. Its description in RNAcentral is "eukaryotic LSU rRNA". It matches the Rfam family "Eukaryotic large subunit ribosomal RNA", at positions 1 to 1504 of the family's 3401-position model. Lineage: Eukaryota; Viridiplantae; Chlorophyta; Chlorophyceae; Chaetophorales; Fritschiellaceae. The record is from RNAcentral.